AUAAUGCUGCCAUGCACGCGGUUGCACAAACGUCUCUUUGAUUCUCUGCUUUCAAAACUUAUAGUGUCUUGCAAUGUCGCCCAGGCUGGAGUGCAGUGGUGCCCCUCCUGUUGUGAAUGUAUCUCCUGAUCUGUUUAACUCCUGUGUGUGAAACUUUGUGAUUCAUGCAAUGAGAACAAGGCUUUACGUGAACAGACCAGAGCCCAGGUGCAGGGCGGUCAUUCCAGAGCCCAGGUGCAGCAGGUGCAGGGCGGUCAUUCUGCCCACACAGUGGUUCAGAUCCGUUCAGCAGCCAGCCGCCGGAAGGCCUUCUCCACCUGUUCUUCCCACCUGGGCAUGGUGCUCCUGUUCUAUGGCACCGGCAGCUCCACCUACAUGCGACCCACCACCCGCUACUCCCCGCUGGAAGGGCGCUUGGCUGCUGUCUUCUA
This 431-nucleotide long non-coding RNA is filed under the name Homo sapiens (human). RNAcentral's name for it is "non-protein coding lnc-SMIM17-2:1". Lineage: Eukaryota; Metazoa; Chordata; Mammalia; Primates; Hominidae. The record is from RNAcentral.